AUUAACCAUGACUCACAGUAAUUAAGCGAUGUGGCUCGACUCUUUGAUUCCGGAUGUUGACCAAACCCCUUUUAUCCCCUCCAAAUCUUUGUCUUGGUACCGUGAUGUUAAAUCCCAAAACCCAACCUCAAUGUCUUGAAUGAACUGGUCUGGACUGAUCAGAACUCGGAAAGAACUUUCUUUCUCUUUUAGACAGUCUUUCGGAACAUCCCGGCAGUUUAUCGGUCUUCGAAAAAUGUCUAUACUUCUAAAGCACCUCACUCUUUCUCUCUCUCUCUCUCUCUCUCUC
This 289-nucleotide long non-coding RNA is filed under the name Brassica napus (rape). Its description in RNAcentral is "long non-coding RNA (BNAP_LNC023682)". The record is from RNAcentral. Lineage: Eukaryota; Viridiplantae; Streptophyta; Magnoliopsida; Brassicales; Brassicaceae.